UACAGAGACUGCAAGCGUUAUUCGGAUUCACUGGGCGUAAAGGGUGCGCAGGCGGCCAAGUGUGUCAGAUGUGAAAUCCCGAGGCUCAACCUCGGAACUGCGUCUGAAACUACUUGGCUAGAGUACUGGAGAGGGUAACGGAAUUCACGGUGUAGCAGUGAAAUGCGUAGAUAUCGUGAGGAACACCAGAGGCGAAGGCGGUUACCUGGACAGUUACUGACGCUCAGGCACGAAAGCGUGGGGAGCAAAAGGG
This 253-nucleotide ribosomal RNA is filed under the name uncultured bacterium. RNAcentral describes it as "partial 16S ribosomal RNA". It matches the Rfam family "Bacterial small subunit ribosomal RNA", at positions 524 to 776 of the family's 1533-position model. The record is from RNAcentral.